ACAUCCCGCGCAGGGAGAAUCCGGUGGCCCAAAAGGCUUUCCGGUGCCGAAGGAGCAACCGCCCCGGUAAACUCUCAGGCAAGCGGACCGCGCGGGUAAA
Molecule: non-coding RNA, 100 nt
Filed under: Rhodobacterales bacterium
Lineage: Bacteria; Pseudomonadati; Pseudomonadota; Alphaproteobacteria; Rhodobacterales
Description: Glycine sequence
Rfam family: Glycine riboswitch aptamer
About the family: This family represents the bacterial glycine riboswitch. Glycine riboswitches usually consist of two metabolite-binding aptamers domains with similar structures in tandem.
Source: RNAcentral